CAUCUUACUGUACCCACAACAGUCGCCGCAGCGAUCAUGGCAACUUCUUGCAAUUACGGUCGUACCAACCGUACUGGCAAGGUUACAGGGCCUAAAUUUAUACAGGUUUCGUCAUGAGGGCUACCCAGUGAAUAAUCUGUGCAGAGUGAUACGGCUGGGUGUACAGGUUACUUCACAGCUGCCUCGACAUACUCAAGAAAUGGGUGCAGAACCUGCGUAAUGCCCACAAACUUUGACUACCACAGCACCUCCAGAAAGUAAAGGCAUA
Long non-coding RNA from Ornithodoros turicata, 268 nucleotides. RefSeq lists it as uncharacterized. The transcript has 3 exons. NCBI's taxonomy places the organism in Eukaryota, Metazoa, Arthropoda, Arachnida, Ixodida, Argasidae. The record is from RefSeq and is a predicted model, not a curated record.